RNAcentral lists this ribosomal RNA (253 nucleotides) under uncultured bacterium. RNAcentral describes it as "partial 16S ribosomal RNA". It matches the Rfam family "Bacterial small subunit ribosomal RNA", at positions 524 to 776 of the family's 1533-position model. The record is from RNAcentral.
UACGUAGGUGGCAAGCGUUGUCCGGAAUUAUUGGGCGUAAAGCGCGCGCAGGUGGUUUCUUAAGUCUGAUGUGAAAGCCCACGGCUCAACCGUGGAGGGUCAUUGGAAACUGGGGAACUUGAGUGCAGGAGAGAAGAGUGGAAUUCCACGUGUAGCGGUGAAAUGCGUAGAGAUGUGGAGGAACACCAGUGGCGAAGGCGGGUCUCUGGGCCGUAACUGACGCUGAGGAGCGAAAGCGUGGGGAGCGAACAGG